Molecule: ribosomal RNA, 492 nt
Filed under: uncultured bacterium
Lineage: Bacteria
Description: partial 16S ribosomal RNA
Rfam family: Bacterial small subunit ribosomal RNA (bases 54-492)
Source: RNAcentral
GGGGGGGGGGGGGGGGGGGGGGAGGGGGGGGGGGGGGGGGGGCGGGGGGGGGGGGGCGGGCGGUGGCGGGGGGGGGGUGGCGGGCGGGGGAGGAGUACAUCGGAAUCUACUUUUUCGUGGGGGAUAACGGGGGGAAACUUACGCUAAUACCGCAUACGACCUACGGGUGAAAGCAGGGGAUCUUCGGACCUUGCGCGAUUGAAUGAGCCGAUGUCGGAUUAGCUAGUUGGCGGGGUAAAGGCCCACCAAGGCGACGAUCCGUAGCUGGUCUGAGAGGAUGAUCAGCCACACUGGAACUGAGACACGGCCCAGACUCCUACGGGAGGCAGCAGUGGGGAAUAUUGGACAAUGGGCGCAAGCCUGAUCCAGCCAUACCGCGUGGGUGAAGAAGGCCUUCGGGUUGUAAAGCCCUUUUGUUGGGAAAGAAAAGCAGCAGGUUAAUACCCCGCUGUUCUGACGGUACCCAAAGAAUAAGCACCGGCUAACUUCGUG